This is a long non-coding RNA of Thalassophryne amazonica, 1099 nucleotides long. RefSeq lists it as uncharacterized. The record is from RefSeq and is a predicted model, not a curated record. Lineage: Eukaryota; Metazoa; Chordata; Actinopteri; Batrachoidiformes; Batrachoididae. The transcript is spliced from 4 exons.
AUAUAUAUGCGUGUGUAUGUGUGUGUUCAUGUUUGUCUAUUUUUGUGAGGACUUCUUUUAAAACCUUAAAGGCCGAUUGAUGAUACCAGUGCUGCAGCUUUUAUGCACUUCCGUAAAAGUCCACAAACAUUUUCUUCUGCAUGCCUCCUCUGCUCCCCCCAUCUGCAGAGAAAGUUACAGUUCCACUUUUAUUUGUGUGUUAGCACAAAAGCUACAUAACAAAUUUUUUAUAGGUUUUGUCUUAAAAUUAUUAUUUAUUAUGUUUAUUUAUCACCAGUCUUAAUAAAAUCUGGUGAAAUGACCAGUUUCGUAAAGUGGAAGAAUUACUAACUUUUGGUCUUGAACUGUAGAUUUUGAUAAAAAACAAAACACGCAUGCACACACACGCACACACACAAAAACUAACUAUAUUUUAGAAAACAGCAUUUUAUGGCGUUUCUCUCAACUUUUCAAAUAGAAUAACUAAAAUUGUCAAGAUGAAAAACCCACUAAACCUUGAUGUUUAUUGAGAUCUGGGUGUGGAUUUUUUUGUUUGUUUCAUUUGUAUUCCUCUACCAAUGCCUUUCAUAAUUUUGCAACCAAGCCCGCUCCCCCAAACUAAUACAAUUUUUUUUUUAAUUUGUACAGAUCUGUAGACUAGUCUUGUCUUGGCAGGUGUGUACCUCGUGUGCUAUGAUGGAGCAUUUAAGGGGCAUAUGCAACACACAGAAAAGCACAAACAAUGCAAGCUGUUGUUGCUUUUUCACAGUGCCUUGUGAUCCAAGUGUGACGCAGCAACCGGCUGACAGUGAUUUAGCGGCUGACACUGCUGAUUGGCUGCCAAGUGUAAAAUCCUAGCUAUCUAACAAGCUUGCAUUAGCUGUCAGGCAACAUAAGGCCAUUUCUCCUCAUUUCGGCUCCGUUCUGUGGCGCCUGUCGGGUAUAAGAUAUUCAUUCGCCCUCUGCUGCAUUCACAUGUUGACAGUAGAGCAACAGUUGCACUGAUUGUUGUUGCAGAAUCACAGUCAUCUGUAGGGGCAGAUGGUGGAGGAUGAUGGGAGGAGCGGUAACUUUGCAGAGUUAAUUACAGAGAUAGUAAUUGCACUUAAUCAAUAGAUGC